Molecule: regulatory RNA element, 174 nt
Rfam family: rncO
About the family: This family represents a bacterial regulatory element (rncO) found in the rnc leader sequence. The rnc operon is negatively auto-regulated by transcript stability. rnc, the first gene in the operon codes for RNase III which cleaves the long rncO stem II leading to transcript degradation and a reduction in translation.
Source: Rfam
AGAUUUAAAGGUUGGCUUCCUGCGGGAAGCCACUGCAAACGAAACUGUUUAGUGUUGGUCAUUCAGUCAGCCCUGUUCCGUGUGCAGAAUAAUUGACGCAUUCUUGAAAUUGGUAACGCAUGAACCCCAUCGUAAUUAACAGGCUGCAGCGAAAGCUGGGCUACACUUUUACUC